GAGGUUUUAGCUUAAUUAAAGCGUCUGAGUUGCAAUCAGGAGAUGUGAACUAGAAUUUUACAAGUCUU
RNAcentral lists this transfer RNA (68 nucleotides) under Paroedura neglecta. RNAcentral describes it as "tRNA-Ala". It matches the Rfam family "tRNA". Rfam says of the family: Transfer RNA (tRNA) molecules are approximately 80 nucleotides in length. Their secondary structure includes four short double-helical elements and three loops (D, anti-codon, and T loops). The record is from RNAcentral. Lineage: Eukaryota; Metazoa; Chordata; Lepidosauria; Squamata; Gekkonidae.